Perognathus longimembris pacificus (Pacific pocket mouse) is the source of this 134-nucleotide small nucleolar RNA. RefSeq annotates it as small nucleolar RNA SNORA48. The record is from RefSeq and is a predicted model, not a curated record. NCBI's taxonomy places the organism in Eukaryota, Metazoa, Chordata, Mammalia, Rodentia, Heteromyidae. The transcript has a single exon.
UGUCUCUGUUGUGGGCAAAAUGAUAUCAACUUCAUGGUGCUCAUCUUCUAUCAGCCAGGGGCAAAACAAUAUCAUAUUUACCUAGCAUAGGUUUUGAUUUAUGCCUGUGCAUGGUUCAUGCCUUGGACACAUGU